CUCUGUUUUUAGCCUUCUCCCCUCUGAAAAAAAAAUCAGAGGAAAAAUUCAGAUGGAAAAAAAUCAGUCAUUGAAAUAAUGAGUAAUUAAAAUUCUGAUAAAAAAAAAAUCACAUAAAUGUUCACGUAAAGGAGACAGGAGUGAACUCUGCGCAUGUACAAGAGGAACGGAGGCGGGAAGCCGUAGCCGAGCCCAUUUCGAACUUUGUUUGAAACACACAGUCAGUUGAAGCCGUUGAAGAACAGCGUGAAGAUGGAACCUGCUACUGAGCACAUCAACUCUUAAGUGUGUCCCUGGAAGAUCUACCAUCAACUUCCAGAACUGCAACUGCUAGUACUGUCAGAUGGUGAAUGCUACUCAGGCAAACACCAUUGUUACACCACUUUGAAGGAGAGCCUGGUCAUUUGGUCCCCUCAGCUUCUCCCUUUCUCAGUGAUAUGUUCAUUGUGGCUGGGAUAAUUGUGGGGCACUCUUUCCUUCAUGGAGGACCCUGCUUGUCUGGACUCUGUGAUGUGGUUGUCCAUACUGCUUCGUGGGAGCCCAGACACGGCUACAGUAAACCUGGAGGACUGUGCAGACCUGGACAUUAGAGAAACAAUCAGGCUUCUGGAGGUGGAAUCAAACCUAUCAGCUGAAGAAAUGGGAAGGGCACAGAACGUGGCCUCUUCCUGGGACCUCCCUCCGCUAACCACAACCAACAGGGCCCUUAAUGCUCUGCGGUGAAAAAAGGAGCAACAAGGCUGACCGUGACAUCGGGAGAGCUGAGGCAGAUCAUCUUAAACAUGAUGCACCUGGACGGUCCGGUGGCGGAGACUUCAAGAAUUAAAUAAAAUUACAAUGAAAUGGAUAACGUUUGUUUGACUGUUUGUUUACGCCUAGCUUGCUAUUGUAAUGUAGGCCUAUUAGAUUAUGUAUUUAUCAUCUAGAUGGUUAAGUUGGUAAAUGAAAAUGCUUAAUGCACAUUUUAAAAGCCUAUAAUAGGAUAAUAUAGGCUUAUUUUAACAGCAAUAGUAUGGGUAAUGGUAAAGUUAGCAAGUGCUUAAUGCACAUUAUUUAAAAGCCUAUAAUAGGAUAAUAUAGGCUUAUAAAUUAAUAUAUAACAGCAAAAUUCUGGUUGAAAAUAGGUCCAUGGCAGCACCUAAACAAGACGUGGUUUCAACCAAAUUUAAACGUUGAAAAGGCGUCUUUCC
This is a long non-coding RNA of Sardina pilchardus (European sardine), 1190 nucleotides long. RefSeq lists it as uncharacterized. NCBI's taxonomy places the organism in Eukaryota, Metazoa, Chordata, Actinopteri, Clupeiformes, Clupeidae. The transcript has 5 exons. The record is from RefSeq and is a predicted model, not a curated record.